GAUUGGACAUUAGGGAAAAAUGUCUAAUCUAGGGAGAUAGAACAGCACGGGAACAGGUUAUCCCAAGUGAAUGGUGCAUGGCCGUUCUUAUUCCAAUAACAAACGAGACUCAGGCAUGCUAACUAGUUAUGCGACCCCUGAGCAGUCAGUGUCCAACUUGUUAGAGGGAAAAGCGGUGUUCAGCCACCCGAGAUUGAGCAAUAACAGAUCUGUGAUGCCCUUAGAUGUCCGGGGCUGCACGCGCGCUACUCUGACUCAGUUUGUGCCUACCCUCCACCGGCAGUCACGGGUAAACCGUUGAACCCCAUUCAUGGUGGGGAUUAGGGGUUGCAAUUCUUCACUGUGAACAAGGAAUUC
Molecule: non-coding RNA, 357 nt
Filed under: Cariama cristata (Red-legged seriema)
Lineage: Eukaryota; Metazoa; Chordata; Aves; Cariamiformes; Cariamidae
Description: Eukaryotic small subunit ribosomal RNA
Rfam family: Eukaryotic small subunit ribosomal RNA
Source: Rfam by way of RNAcentral